Molecule: non-coding RNA, 26 nt
Filed under: Mus musculus (house mouse)
Lineage: Eukaryota; Metazoa; Chordata; Mammalia; Rodentia; Muridae
Source: RNAcentral
GCGUCAGGAGAGCACCCUUACGGAGC